Molecule: ribosomal RNA, 1346 nt
Filed under: uncultured bacterium
Lineage: Bacteria
Description: partial 16S ribosomal RNA
Rfam family: Bacterial small subunit ribosomal RNA
Source: RNAcentral
GACGAACGCUGGCGGCGUGCUUAACACAUGCAAGUCGAACGGAAAGGCCCUGCUUUUGUGGGGUGCUCGAGUGGCGAACGGGUGAGCAACACGUGAGUAACCUGCCCUUGACUUUGGGAUAACUUCAGGAAACUGGGGCUAAUACAGGAUAGGAGCUCCUGCUGCAUGGUGGGGGUUGGAAAGUUUCGGCGGUUGGGGAUGGACUCGCGGCUUAUCAGCUUGUUGGUGGGGUAGUGGCUUACCAAGGCUUUGACGGGUAGCCGGCCUGAGAGGGUGACCGGCCACAUUGGGACUGAGAUACGGCCCAGACUCCUACGGGAGGCAGCAGUGGGGAAUAUUGCACAAUGGGCGGAAGCCUGAUGCAGCAACGCCGCGUGCGGGAUGACGGCCUUCGGGUUGUAAACCGCUUUCGCCUGUGACGAAGCGUGAGUGACGGUAAUGGGUAAAGAAGCACCGGCUAACUACGUGCCAGCAGCCGCGGUGAUACGUAGGGUGCGAGCGUUGUCCGGAUUUAUUGGGCGUAAAGGGCUCGUAGGUGGUUGAUCGCGUCGGAAGUGUAAUCUUGGGGCUUAACCCUGAGCGUGCUUUCGAUACGGGUUGACUUGAGGAAGGUAGGGGAGAAUGGAAUUCCUGGUGGAGCGGUGGAAUGCGCAGAUAUCAGGAGGAACACCAGUGGCGAAGGCGGUUCUCUGGGCCUUUCCUGACGCUGAGGGGCGAAAGCGUGGGGAGCGAACAGGCUUAGAUACCCUGGUAGUCCACGCUGUAAACGGUGGGUACUAGGUGUGGGGUCCAUUCCACGGGCUCCGUGCCGUAGCUAACGCUUUAAGUACCCCGCCUGGGGAGUACGGCCGCAAGGCUAAAACUCAAAGGAAUUGACGGGGCCCCGCACAAGCGGCGGAGCAUGCGGAUUAAUUCGAUGCAACGCGUAGAACCUUACCUGGGUUUGACAUGGAUCGGGAGUGCUCAGAGAUGGGUGUGCCUCUUUUGGGGUCGGUUCACAGGUGGUGCAUGGCUGUCGUCAGCUCGUGUCGUGAGAUGUUGGGUUAAGUCCCGCAACGAGCGCAACCCUUGUUCACUGUUGCCAGCACGUUAUGGUGGGGACUCAGUGGAGACCCCCGGGGUCAACUCGGAGGAAGGUGGGGAUGACGUCAAGUCAUCAUGCCCCUUAUGUCCAGGGCUUCACGCAUGCUACAAUGGCUGGUACAGAGAGUGGCGAGCCUGUGAGGGUGAGCGAAUCUCGGAAAGCCGGUCUCAGUUCGGAUUGGGGUCUGCAACUCGACCUCGUGAAGUCGGAGUCGCUAGUAAUCGCAGAUCAGCAACGCUGCGGUGAAUACGUUCCCGGGGCU